CCUACGGGUGGCUGCAGUGGGGAAUCUUCCACAAUGGACGAAAGUCUGAUGGAGCAAUACCAUGUGAACGAUGAAGGUCUUUUUGAUUGUAAAGUUCUUUUAUGAGGGAUAACAACUGAUAGUACCUCAUGAAUAAGUGACAGCAAACUAUGUGCCAGCAGCUGCGGUAAUACAUAGGUCGCAAGCAUUAUUCGGAUUUAUUGGGCGUAAAGCAAGCGCAGGCGGAUGUGUAAGUUCUGUGUUAAAAGUAGCUACUUAAUAGUUGUUUGCACCGAAUACUACAUGUCUAGAAUGUGGUAGGAAGUUUUGGAAUUAAACAUGGAGCGGUGGAAUGUGUAGAUAUGUUUAAGAACACCGGAGGCGAAGGCGAAAACUUAGGCCAUAAUUGACGCUUAGGCUUGAAAGUGUGGGGAGCAAAUGGGAUUAGAUACCCCUGUAGUC
This 441-nucleotide ribosomal RNA is filed under the name uncultured bacterium. RNAcentral describes it as "bacterial SSU rRNA". It matches the Rfam family "Bacterial small subunit ribosomal RNA", at positions 338 to 795 of the family's 1533-position model. The record is from RNAcentral.